GCAGGAGUCGUGCAGAUGUCUGUACUUACAAAUGUCAUUUGUUCACUGUUCAUACAGCCAAGGGCAUAUAUAAGUCAUGGGGAGUUCGCCAUACCCUUGACAUGUGGCACGGAUCGAAAAACCUUGGAAAGAAGAUCCACCAGGCGAGCCAGCAGAAGGGGUGCUCCAUUUUACUCAUUUGGAGCAAGGAUGUGUGCAACCACUUUUGGUUUUGUGCCAAAAUGUCGGCAACCUAUGACGACUUCUUUGACAUGUGGG
Long non-coding RNA from Sebastes umbrosus (honeycomb rockfish), 258 nucleotides. RefSeq lists it as uncharacterized. The transcript is spliced from 3 exons. The record is from RefSeq and is a predicted model, not a curated record. Lineage: Eukaryota; Metazoa; Chordata; Actinopteri; Perciformes; Sebastidae.